RNAcentral lists this non-coding RNA (226 nucleotides) under Candidatus Magasanikbacteria bacterium GW2011_GWE2_42_7. Lineage: Bacteria; Candidatus Magasanikiibacteriota. The record is from RNAcentral.
GUAACAAAGGACUGGAACGAUUAUAGAGUGGGUAAACAGGAGUACAGACAGUACAUUACACCAUACAACAAGGCUACCUUUAUACUUGGUAACGAGUAUAUUGUCCGCCCACGGCCAACUAGAGACCAUACGCCGUGCUCCUCACCAUUAAGGUGUUGGGGAUGAAGAUAUGGCCCUUCGUAGAGGAAUAGAAGAGCGAAAUUCCUUGUCGGGUAAGUUCCGACGC